GACGAACGCUGGCGGCGUGCUUAACACAUGCAAGUCGAACGGAAAGGCCCUGCUUUUGUGGGGUGCUCGAGUGGCGAACGGGUGAGUAACACGUGAGUAACCUGCCCUUGACUUUGGGAUAACUUCAGGAAACUGGGGCUAAUACCGGAUAGGAGCUCCUGCUGCAUGGUGGGGGUUGGAAAGUUUCGGCGGUUGGGGAUGGACUCGCGGCUUAUCAGCUUGUUGGUGGGGUAGUGGCUUACCAAGGCUUUGACGGGUAGCCGGCCUGAGAGGGUGACCGGCCACAUUGGGACUGGGAUGCGGCCCAGACUCGUACGGGAGGCAGCGGUGGAGAAUAGUGCACAAUGGACGGAAGCCAGAUGCAGCAACGCCGCGUGCGGGAUGACGGCCUUCGGGUUGUAAACCGCUUUCGCCUGUGACGAGGCGUGAGUGACGGUAAUGGGUAAAGAAGCACCGGCUAACUACGUG
Molecule: ribosomal RNA, 468 nt
Filed under: uncultured bacterium
Lineage: Bacteria
Description: partial 16S ribosomal RNA
Rfam family: Bacterial small subunit ribosomal RNA
Source: RNAcentral